GCGAGCGGCGGAUGGGUGAGUAACACGUGGGGAACCUGCCCCUAAGUCUGGGAUACCAUUUGGAAACAGGUGCUAAUACCGGAUAAUAAAGCAGAUCGCAUGAUCAGCUUUUGAAAGGCGGCGUAAGCUGUCGCUAAGGGAUGGCCCCGCGGUGCAUUAGCUAGUUGGUAAGGUAACGGCUUACCAAGGCGACGAUGCAUAGCCGAGUUGAGAGACUGAUCGGCCACAUUGGGACUGAGACACGGCCCAAACUCCUACGGGAGGCAGCAGUAGGGAAUCUUCCACAAUGGACGCAAGUCUGAUGGAGCAACGCCGCGUGAGUGAAGAAGGUUUUCGGAUCGUAAAGCUCUGUUGUUGGUGAAGAAGGAUAGAGGUAGUAACUGGCCUUUAUUUGACGGUAAUCAACCAGAAAGUCACGGCUAACUACGUGCCAGCAGCCGCGGUAAUACGUAGGUGGCAAGCGUUGUCCGGAUUUAUUGGGCGUAAAGCGAGCGCAGGCGGAAAAAUAAGUCUAAUGUGAAAGCCCUCGGCUUAACCGAGGAACUGCAUCGGAAACUGUUUUUCUUGAGUGCAGAAGAGGAGAGUGGAACUCCAUGUGUAGCGGUGGAAUGCGUAGAUAUAUGGAAGAACACCAGUGGCGAAGGCGGCUCUCUGGUCUGCAACUGACGCUGAGGCUCGAAAGCAUGGGUAGCGAACAGGAUUAGAUACCCUGGUAGUCCAUGCCGUAAACGAUGAGUGCUAAGUGUUGGGAGGUUUCCGCCUCUCAGUGCUGCAGCUAACGCAUUAAGCACUCCGUCCUGGGGAGUACGACCGCAA
This 816-nucleotide ribosomal RNA is filed under the name uncultured bacterium. Its description in RNAcentral is "bacterial SSU rRNA". It matches the Rfam family "Bacterial small subunit ribosomal RNA", at positions 91 to 891 of the family's 1533-position model. The record is from RNAcentral.